UUCGGCCAUAUCACGCUGCAAGCGGUUCUCAUGAGAUCACCAAAGUUAAGCAGUGUCGUGCCUGGUCAGUACCUAAAUGGGUGACCGCUUGGAAAAACCAAAUGCUGUAAG
Non-coding RNA from Acanthosepion pharaonis, 111 nucleotides. Lineage: Eukaryota; Metazoa; Mollusca; Cephalopoda; Sepiida; Sepiidae. The record is from the annotation of a GenBank genome assembly.